This 466-nucleotide ribosomal RNA is filed under the name uncultured bacterium. RNAcentral describes it as "partial 16S ribosomal RNA". It matches the Rfam family "Bacterial small subunit ribosomal RNA", at positions 28 to 507 of the family's 1533-position model. The record is from RNAcentral.
GAUGAACGCUGGCGGCGUGCUUAACACAUGCAAGUCGAACGAUGAAGCCCAGCUUGCUGGGUGGAUUAGUGGCGAACGGGUGAGUAACACGUGAGUAACCUGCCCUUAACUCUGGGAUAAGCCUGGGAAACUGGGUCUAAUACCGGAUAGGAGCGUCCACCGCAUGGUGGGUGUUGGAAAGAUUUAUCGGUUUUGGAUGGACGCGCGGCCUAUCCGCUUGUUGGGGAGGUAAUGGCUCACCAAGGCGACGACGGGUAGCCGGCCUGAGAGGGUGACCGGCCACACUGGGACUGAGACACGGCCCAGACUCCAACGGGAGGCAGCAGUGGGGAAUAUUGCACAAUGGGCGCAAGCCUGAUGCAGCGACGCCGCGUGAGGGAUGACGGCCUUCGGGUGGUAACCCUCUUUCAGUAGGGAAGAAGCGAAAGUGACGGUACCUGCAGAAGAAGCACCGGCUAACUACGUG